CGUAACUAAAAUCAACAACUAUCUACCUUAAACCCAAGGUCCAACACAAGGCUUGUGUUGGAUCAUAUCAAUCGGUUCAUAAUCAUCCUAAAACCUAAUAUGACUAUAUAGUCCAUAUGAGGAUGCAAUGCAUUCGUUAGUAGUUCCAUAUAGUCUCGCUUGUUUCAACGAAACAGUGGGAGUAUUAUAUGCUACUAAUUCAUAUUAACUUGGACCAAUAGUUGUGAUAGGCUUAAGUUCUUUUAAUAUGAUUAAAAUGAUUUUGAUGUAGCCCAAAACUACUCCCUCGACAAACGAAUAUUAAGUUGAUAAGCGAGAGAUGUUUUGAACAUCUCUUCGUAGGCCUUCCACCGUGGUGGGCUCCAAUCGUUUGUGACUCAUGCACCGGCUUCACCCUAUCAUGGGGGAGUACAAAGUAUGUGCUUACAUCCAGGAGGAGUCCAUAAACAUAUGAUGAGGUGAGUGUAGGCAACGAGGAUAGCCGAUAUCAUAUCAUUGUGACACUAUUCUUGAACCCCUUCAUGAACUAAGCAUGGUGGGAAUGACUUAACUAAGUGCAAUGGUGUCGAUAUCGUAUCAUCGUGAGGCAACAUUCUCUAGAGGCCAAACGGAUGGGUAAUUACAAAAGUUGUAAAUGAAUAAUGCGUUAUUCUCUCAUCAUUAUUUUUGCUAACCAAUAUCGUAUCAUCGUGAGGUGGGCUUGGUAAUGGUGAGUCUCCCAUAACCCGCUAAGAGUUCAAUACAACUCUUGAAUUCUAUUGAGGGAUGUGGAAUUUGCCAAAAAUAGUGGGUGGUACUAUUUGAUUCAAAGACCCAAUCAAAUAGUUUUAAACAAACAAUCUAAUACGAUUUCUGUUAUGUUAUGUAGUGAACGACAUGCCUAAAAUUAUACCCACCAUUAUACUUACAAAAAGGGCCUUAAGGGCCAACGUUUCCUUGCUUGGUAUCGCCACAUUGAGAAUGUCUCAAAGGUGAAAGACAUAUUGUAUGUGCUUAAGCAAUCCCCUCCUCAUGUACCUUCUAUGAAAUUAGCUUCAAAGGAGGAGUGUCAAAAUUAUGUUAGACACUAUGAGGAUGACUUACAAGCCAAAUG
Molecule: long non-coding RNA, 1093 nt
Filed under: Malus domestica (apple)
Lineage: Eukaryota; Viridiplantae; Streptophyta; Magnoliopsida; Rosales; Rosaceae
Description: long non-coding RNA (MDOM_LNC009164)
Source: RNAcentral